RNAcentral lists this ribosomal RNA (464 nucleotides) under uncultured bacterium. RNAcentral's name for it is "partial 16S ribosomal RNA". It matches the Rfam family "Bacterial small subunit ribosomal RNA", at positions 339 to 795 of the family's 1533-position model. The record is from RNAcentral.
CUACGGGCUGCUGCAGUGGGGAAUAUUGCACAAUGGGGGAAACCCUGGUGCAGCCAUGCCGCGUGUGUGAAGAAGGCCUUCGGGUUGUAAAGCACUUUCAGCGAGGAGGAAAGGUUGGUAGCUAAUAACUGCCAGCUGUGACGUUACUCGCAGAAGAAGCACCGGCUAACUCCGUGCCAGCAGCCGCGGUAAUACAGAGGGUGCAAGCGUUAAUCGGAAUUACUGGGCGUAAAGCGCACGCAGGCGGUUGGAUAAGUUAGAUGUGAAAGCCCCGGGCUCAACCUGGGAAUUGCAUUUAAAACUGUCCAGCUAGAGUCUUGUAGAGGGGGGUAGAAUUCCAGGUGUAGCGGUGAUAUGCGUAGAGAUCUGGAGGAAUACCGGUGGCGAAGGCGGCCCCCUGGACAAAGACUGACGCUCAGGUGCGAAAGCGUGGGGAGCAAACAGGAUUAGAUACCCCCGUAGUC